AUGAGCCUACGGGGGGCAGCAGUGGGGGAUAUUGCACAAUGGGGGGAACCCUGAUGCAGCGACGCCGCGUGAGUGAGGAAGUAUUUCGGUAUGUAAAGCUCUAUCAGCAGGGAAUAGAAAAGAAGGUACCUGAAAAAGAAGCCCCGGCUAACUACGUGCCAGCAGCCGCGGUAAUACGUAGGGGGCAAGCGUUAUCCGGAUUUACUGGGGGUAAAGGGAGCGUAGACGGAAAGGCAAGUCAGAAGUGAAAACCCAAGGCUCAACCAU
RNAcentral lists this ribosomal RNA (267 nucleotides) under uncultured bacterium. RNAcentral's name for it is "partial 16S ribosomal RNA". It matches the Rfam family "Bacterial small subunit ribosomal RNA", at positions 333 to 616 of the family's 1533-position model. The record is from RNAcentral.